RNAcentral lists this ribosomal RNA (478 nucleotides) under uncultured bacterium. RNAcentral's name for it is "partial 16S ribosomal RNA". It matches the Rfam family "Bacterial small subunit ribosomal RNA", at positions 28 to 523 of the family's 1533-position model. The record is from RNAcentral.
GACGAACGCUGGCGGCGUGCUUAACACAUGCAAGUCGAGCGGUAAGGCCUUUCGGGGUACACGAGCGGCGAACGGGUGAGUAACACGUGGGUGAUCUGCCCUGCACUCUGGGAUAAGCCUGGGAAACUGGGUCUAAUACCGGAUAUGACUACAUGCUGCAUGGUGUGUGGUGGAAAGAUUUAUCGGUGCAGGAUGGGCCCGCGGCCUAUCAGCAUGUUGGUGGGGUAAUGGCCUACCAAGGCGACGACGGGUAGCCGACCUGAGAGGGUGACCGGCCACACUGGGACUGAGACACGGCCCAGACUCCUACGGGAGGCAGCAGUGGGGAAUAUUGCACAAUGGGCGGAAGCCUGAUGCAGCGACGCCGCGUGAGGGAUGAAGGCCUUCGGGUUGUAAACCUCUUUCAGCAGGGACGAAGCGUGAGUGACGGUACCUGCAGAAGAAGCACCGGCUAACUACGUGCCAGCCGCCGCAGUAA